This 638-nucleotide ribosomal RNA is filed under the name uncultured bacterium. RNAcentral's name for it is "bacterial SSU rRNA". It matches the Rfam family "Bacterial small subunit ribosomal RNA", at positions 202 to 842 of the family's 1533-position model. The record is from RNAcentral.
GAAAGAAUAUCGGAGACGGAUGGGCAUGCGGCGCAUUAGCUAGUUGGCGGGGUAACGGCCCACCAAGGCGACGAUGCGUAGGGGUUCUGAGAGGAAGGUCCCCCACACUGGUACUGAGACACGGACCAGACUCCUACGGGAGGCAGCAGUGAGGAAUAUUGGUCAAUGGGCGAGAGCCUGAACCAGCCAAGUCGCGUGAGGGAGUACUGCCCUAUGGGUUGUAAACCUCUUUUGUCGGGGAGCAAAAGCCGGACGUGUCCGUCUGUGAGAGUACCCGAAGAAAAAGCAUCGGCUAACUCCGUGCCAGCAGCCGCGGUAAUACGGAGGAUGCGAGCGUUAUCCGGAUUUAUUGGGUUUAAAGGGUGCGCAGGCGGAUUUUUAAGUCAGCGGUCAAAUCGUGGGGCUCAACCCCAUCCAGCCGUUGAAACUGGGGAUCUAGAGUGUGCGAGAGGUAUGCGGAAUGCGUGGUGUAGCGGUGAAAUGCAUAGAUAUCACGCAGAACCCCGAUUGCGAAGGCAGCAUACCGGUGCACAACCGACGCUCAGGCACGAAAGCGUGGGUAUCGAACAGGAUUAGAUACCCUGGUAGUCCACGCAGUAAACGAUGAAUGCUACCUGUUUGGCCAGAUUGAAGGCUGA